Molecule: long non-coding RNA, 2039 nt
Organism: Cydia pomonella (codling moth)
Lineage: Eukaryota; Metazoa; Arthropoda; Insecta; Lepidoptera; Tortricidae
Exons: 7
Source: RefSeq, a predicted model, not a curated record
CUUAAAAGAGAAAUAUAUAAAGAUGAUAAAUAAAACUUCCUGACUAAUUAAAUUACUCUACUAUUUUUGACUUUUAGCGCCACCUACGAAUUAAUUCACUCAUCGAUCAACCAUGGAACGUCUAAGUACUUCUACUCGACACUAGAUGGAAGUAGUACUCGGAAUUUAUACAUUUUGAGAUUAUUCAAUUCUCUGCCAAAAGAUUAUUUCGUAUCUGACCUUUUAAAAAUAAAUGCAAUAUUUUAUUAACUAUUUUUAAUACUAAAAUAAAUCGAUCGUGUAAACCCGCUUUUAAUCAUAAACAAUAUUUUCUAGAAGUCGGUCCAUGUGCGACAAAAUUAAAAUACGUCCUAGCAUCCCUGACAACAUACGAAACACUGCCUACAUGAUUUAAUCGGAUUGUAGCCGACUUAGUUAAUGUUCCCCAUAGAUGGCGUGUGUAACUAGAAAUAAAAGAAUACAAUGAAAUUUGGCCGUUUUAAGGUUUUAAUAUGCAUUUUAUAUUAAUAUGAUAGUAAGGAUGCAUUUAUCCAAUAAGUAAAUUAAAGUAAUUGAUUCAAUCACGUCAUACCAUAAACGAUUCUAGACGUACAAUGAUAUUUUAAUCAUGGCAGCCCUAAGCUCUGACACUUUUCUUACUUCCGUUCAUUUAAGUUUUUUUUAUUAGUAUUUUCUAUUAACAGCAUUCAUUUUCAAUGCCUAAAACUUGUUAUUAAAUCUCGAAAUUAUUAAUUAAUGUCAUAAAUACCAAAGUUACCUCAACUAUCAGUGUCACAGUGAAUUAUAACCUUAAUAAGCAAAUAAAUGACAACCAUCUAACCGCCAUAUUGUAAAUAAAUAAGCUGUAUGGAGAAAGUUGACAAAGCAUUAUAUCACGACAGAAAUUUUAAUUGUACUGGAAAAGAUCGUCCUCGAGUGUGCUUUUUACGAUUCUCUAAAUAUUCUACCCAUUGCCUAUCGCUAGAGCUGUACAAGACAAACGAAAUAGAAUUUCGGAUUCAAACACGAUCAUGUUCUUCACUUUCGUUAAAUUUUAUAAAUCUUCAAUGAAUCCAGUGCCCUACGAUGACCUAUGACCUAAAGUUGGAACUGUAUAGAAACAAGGAUGUUUAAUUAAUGUGCCUAGUUCCUGUUCGAAUCGAUAUACCGAUUGAAAUGGGCUCAAAUAUGAAAUCUGUUACUCCUAGCAAGUAAACUGACAACUCUAUUGGAAUAGUCCCUGUUGCCUGACUUACAUGAACUGUUAACAAUGAAAAUGUAUUGAAAUUAUGCUGGAGAACCCCGCUUCUUGCUGGAUUUGAUGAAUCUUUACACAACCUUAAAGACAAACAGAGACAACUCUGAUGGCUGCCUAUGUGCCUAUAUAUACACAUACCUAGUGUUUGGUGAUGUUUAAGCCGAGCGGAGCAAAUUUCCGUUUGCUGUUUUCAUGGACUUUUCCAAGUCUCUCGAUAAUCUCCAACAAACAGAAUGGUUUCCUGAUACCUGGCCGUUAGGUCACCUAGCAGUCAGUUAAACUUAAGCCAAGCGAAGGAAAUCGCCAUGGUUAUUUUCAUGAUUCCUGUUUCUCCAUGUCUUACCACAAUUUUCAAUGUUCCGGAGAACUGACAGUGCCCCGCAGAGUCAUUACGUCUAGCCUCAAAAUACACACUAUGGAAUGCUUCUAUUUCUGAAAGGACCACACCUCUCCAGACUCCUGUUCAAUAAUUUACUGCCACUUCAAAGUUCCUGUCCCACGGCUCUAUUUCUAGAACCCUGCACCCACAACAGCAGCGGUCCACAUUGAAUACCACUUAUUGGGAAAGUGACACUCAAGAUCUUCUUUUAUGUUAGGUAUCAAGGCGCAAGAAGAUGAAAUUAUAAUUGAUUAUUUUGUGAUGACACGUCUUAAAUAUGAAAUGAAUCCUCUAACAACGGCGAUAAGAAAACGAGUAAAGAAGACUGAUAUACUUAUUAUGAAGAAAAUAACUAUAAGGAUUUAUUUACUAAGUAGACAAUAACUCUAAGGAUUUUUUUUGUACAUAAUAACAGUUUGAAAA